RNAcentral lists this long non-coding RNA (2111 nucleotides) under Homo sapiens (human). RNAcentral describes it as "HSALNT0279356". The record is from RNAcentral. Lineage: Eukaryota; Metazoa; Chordata; Mammalia; Primates; Hominidae.
GCACUCCAGCCUGGGAGACAGAACGGGACUCCGUCUCAAAAAAAAAAAAAAUCUGCUGGGCGUGGUGGCUCACGCCUGUAAUCCCAACACUUUGGGAGGCCAAGGUGCGUGGAUUGCCUGAGCUUAGGAGUUUCCAACCAGCCUGGCCAACAUGGUGAAACUCUGUCUCUACUAAAAUACAAAAUAUUAACUGGGCAUGGUGGUGGGCGCCUGUGGUCCCAGCUACUCAGGAGGCUGAGGCAGGAGAAUUGCUUGAACCCGGGAUAUGGAGGUUGCAGUGAGCCAAGAUCGAGCCACUGCACUCCAGCCUGGGCAACAGAAUGAGACUCCGUCUCAAAAAAAAAAAAAAAAAAGGAUGUCCGUUCUCCCCAAGAUCUGCAGAUUCAAGGUGAUCCCAGUCAAAGUCCCAGCAGUUUGCUGUUCUUAAGCCAACAAGCUCCAAGGGCCAGCACGCACUUCCUGUCCUGCUGGCCGGACUGGGCCUGGUGACCCUGUCGCCGCAGGCCUUUUGCAGCACAGGCUCUGAGAGCAACGGUGCGGUUGCCUGACUGUCACGGAACAAACACACACCAGGCGAGCACUAGCCUGAGGCCGAGGGGCACAUGGAGCUGGCCUGAGCCCAGCCAGGAGUCUGGAAGCAAGCCCAGCUCCUCCCGGCCGUGCCCUCGAGGGCCUGACCGCGAAACGCUCGUACGCACGGGUUGGAGUUGUUUGCCACGCGUGGCAACUGCGGCAGGAACCUGACUCACGCACGGACGCCAGCACCCACAAGUGAGAGGCGCCUCAGACACGUGGUGUCGGCUUUGGAAGCAGCUGGUGGGUGGUGAGGAAAUGUCACAGCUCUGGAAAGACAGAGGCCUCUGUAAGGUGGUGUCAAAAUGCCAGGUUGAAUCAACAGUCAUCUGCGGGGACUCUGAAGGCAGGCAAUCCGCCCAGUGAACUGGCAGCACCGGGCAGGAGGGUCUGGAGGGAGAACCCUGGUGGCAUGGCUGGUGUGUGAGGAUCAAAGGCAGAGGAGAUCUUUCCUCUUCAGCAUGGUAAUUUGGCACUGGGCUAAGCCUCCAGCUGCCUCCCGCUGGUGACCUGGUAAAGGGGAACAUAAACUCCUUUGGUCGGCAACAUUGCUUACGGCAACACUGCCCUGUGGCAGGCAGACCACGUGGGGACUGGGGAGUCAUUGGUGUCUGGGAGGCCACGUCACUGGCCUUCCUGAGUGAUCCCCACACCUGGGAAUGUGCCCUGCGGGCCAUAGCCGCGGGAUUGCUGCAGGAGGAACUUCGCCUCCCGUGGGGCAAGAGGCAUCUCCGUGAGUGGGUCCCAGCCCCUGAAUCGCAGUGGGAAUCAGGGAGGCGGCAACACCUGCGUGCCGUCAUAAAGACCCCCACCAUGCCCUCGUAAAGACCCCCAUCACACCGUCCUGAAGACCCCCACAUACCCUCGUAAAGACCCCAUCACACCAUCCUAAAGACCCCCACACACACUCGUAAAGACCCCAUCACACCAUCCUGAAGACCCCACACACCCUCGUAAAGACCCCAUCACACCGUCCUAAAGACCCCCACACACCCUCGUAAAGACCCCAUCACACCGUCCUGAAGACCCCACACACACUCGUAAAGACCCCAUCACACCAUCCUGAAGACCCCACACACCCUCGUAAAGACCCCAUCACACCGUCCUGAAGACCCCACACACCCUCGUAAAGACCCCAUCACACCGUCCUGAAGACCCCACACACCCUCGUAAAGACCCCAUCACACCGUCCUGAAGACCCCACACACCCUCGUAAAGACCCCAUCACACCAUCCUGAAGACCCCACACACCCUCGUAAAGACCCCAUCACACCAUCCUGAAGACCCCACACACCCUCGUAAAGACCCCAUCACACCGUCCUAAAGACCCCCACACACCCUCGUAAAGACCCCAUCACACCAUCCUGAAGACCCCACACACACUCGUAAAGACCCCAUCACACCGUCCUAAAGACCCCCCCUAUUGCCGGGCGCGGUGGCUCACGCCUGUAAUCCCAGCACCUUGGGAGGCUGAGGCGGCGGAUCACGAGGUCAGGAGGUGGAGACCAUCCUGACUAACACGGUGAAACCCCAUCUCU